Molecule: non-coding RNA, 30 nt
Filed under: Rattus norvegicus (Norway rat)
Lineage: Eukaryota; Metazoa; Chordata; Mammalia; Rodentia; Muridae
Source: RNAcentral
UUGCAAUAAUUAUCAGUUUUUGCUACAAAA